RNAcentral lists this ribosomal RNA (320 nucleotides) under Curvularia sp. RNAcentral's name for it is "partial large subunit ribosomal RNA". It matches the Rfam family "Eukaryotic large subunit ribosomal RNA", at positions 331 to 671 of the family's 3401-position model. Lineage: Eukaryota; Fungi; Ascomycota; Dothideomycetes; Pleosporales; Pleosporaceae. The record is from RNAcentral.
AGACCGAUAGCGAACAAGUAGAGUGAUCGAAAGAUGAAAAGCACUUUGGAAAGAGAGUCAAACAGCACGUGAAAUUGUUGAAAGGGAAGCGCUUGCAGCCAGACUUGCUUGCAGUUGCUCAUCCGGGCUUUUGCCCGGUGCACUCUUCUGUAGGCAGGCCAGCAUCAGUUUGGGCGGUGGGAUAAAGGUCUCUGUCACGUACCUUCCUUCGGGUUGGCCUUAUAGGGGAGACGUCAUACCACCAGCCUGGACUGAGGUCCGCGCAUCUGCUAGGAUGCUGGCGUAUGGCUGAAGCGGCCCUCUUGAAACACGGACCAAGA